Molecule: long non-coding RNA, 4012 nt
Organism: Mustela lutreola (European mink)
Lineage: Eukaryota; Metazoa; Chordata; Mammalia; Carnivora; Mustelidae
Exons: 5
Source: RefSeq, a predicted model, not a curated record
AGCAUGGUUCAGGAAUCCAGCCCCCAGCAGUCGGGGUCGGUUGCCGAGAUAGGAUGAAACCUAUUUGCAACGCCUGUCCGUUGGGGACGUCUUGCAUAGCUGUCUUUGGGGCUGCAGCAUUAUGAAGCCUGACCCCUGGGCAGCUGAUCCACGUGGAGCUGGGCUGCAGGGACCGGAGAGCUCCAGGUCUUCGGACUGUUUGUCUUUGACCUUCACUGGUGGGGUUGCGGAGCCCGGCUUUAAAGGACCCUAGCCACGUACCUCAUUUUAACUUAAUUAUGUCUCUGAAGACCUGUCUCCAAAUGAGGUAUGGGGGCUUAAGACUUGAACUCGUGGAUUUUGAGGAGGACACAAUCCAUCCUAUAACACAGGAGUUCUUUCUGGGCUAUUCACAGUUCAGUAGGGAUCUGACAGCUGGCUGACAGGUAAGUAAACCACAGGUAAGUAAACCAAGGUUCAGAGGAGUUUGCUAACUUGCCCAGGGACACAGAGCUUUUAAAGGGAAAAGCUGGAAUUUCAACACAGGUCAUUGGGACUCUGGUGUCUGCUCAGUUUCCAUCACGCAGAGAAAGAGUAGUUCAUCGUGGAGGGGUGUGAGGGAUGGGCUCUGAAUCUGGGUAUGCCCCUCUUGGACUGAUGCCUCUCUCUCUCUCACAUAUUUUUCCUUUGGCAACUUCUUCCACUCAGCCAGCCUCCACCCCUUGAGUUUUGCUUACCCAGAAACCCAGGAAGCUUUAGGAACCCACUUGCAAGGCUUUGAGUCCAAUUCUGACCCUACCAAUGUUACUCCUGUGAUGAUGAUGAUUAAUUAAUAAAACUAACCAUUUAUUAAGCAUCUGCUUUGGAACCCAUGUUAGGCUCUUAAGAUAAAGUAGCUCCUAUUCUCUCAAUAACUCUCUGUACGGUGAUUAUCGUCUGUUUACAGACAAGCCAGGAUGUUUAUUAUGUCGUACUGUGCAAGAGUGAAAAAUUGGAAACAAGCACAUACACUUGCAAAUUACACAUUCCUUAUUCUUAGCUCUCUGUGCCCUUACGUGAGUUCUUGUUAGCCUGGAUUCUGCAACCUUGAGAAGCGCGCACUUGAGCAGACAGGUAGGGCCACGCAGUCCUACAAAAGGCCACAGUUGCUGAUACACUCACCGUGUAUGGGGGCCCCUGUCUUCCCGCACUCUCGGCCACACUGGAUGCUAUCAAUCCUUUAAAUUUUGGCCUCAUGUGUAGAGCUACGUUAUCUAAAACAGUAGCUGCUGACCUGGUGUGUCUGUGUGAAUUUCAUCAAAAUAAAAUUUUAAAAUUCAGCUCCUUGGCUGCACCAGCCCCAUUUCUAGAGCUCAACAGCCCCACGUGGGCCUGGUGGCUACCAUGUCGUACAGCACAGCUACAGAGCAUUUCCAUCACCCCCGAACGCUCUACUAGACAGUGCUGCUUUGGGACAAAGAAAUGAAUCUCAUUGUUUUGGGAUCCAUGUCCCUGACACUAAUGAGCUGGACCAGAUUUUCACUGAACAUCUAUAGCAAACUCUUAGGCACACUCGUUACAUAAGAGGCAAGAUUCUGAGUGUGUGACAGAGGCCAUCCAUUGAAUGUCUUUAUCAGUUUGAUGUUUGAAUGCUGGAGAACAAGCACAAGAAGGAAAGGGGAAUUUGAGAGGGUCUCAGAGAGGAGUCUAAUGAGGACGCCAGGUCCCCAGGAGGACUCAGAGCAAUUGGUUUGUAGGAGAAGGAGCAACGUAUCCUCGGAGCACUAGGGGAGGAAAGGACAGGUAAGGUGCUGGUGAGUCUGUGCCUUCAGUGGGACGGCUUCUGUUCUUUCUCUCUCUGUACGAGGCAUGAUCAUCACCCUGGAGUGAGGAAGCAGGAAGUAGGAGGAGGAUGGAGGAAAGCAGAACCAUGACACAGCUGUUCCCUGGAAUGGGAACAUGAGCUCACUCAGGGAACACACAUGAUUUCUGGCUAUUUUGAGGGUCCAAAACCCUCAGGGGCCCUUCCCCGCCCAACCAAGAGCCCUCAAAAGGGUUGUAGUUGUGCUGGCUCUUGACCUUGUCCUUGAGGUUUAUACUUUUUCUUGGCUGGGCCUGUGGGGGGACGGAGGAGUUGGGAGCGAGGGUAGGGGUGGGUGGACAGAACACUCCCUUCCACGGAAGAAGUUCAUGCAAGAAUGUCUGCUUCUCAAGGUCUCUUUAGCCUCUGACCCUUGCCAAACAGGUGAAUUGAACCCAUUUGGAAAAUUAUAUGCACCUUUGAAUCUUUAUGAUGAAUUCCAAACUAACCAAUCAGAACACAAAGUGCAGCUUGAGAAGCAGGGGACAAGGGAAUGGGAAUGUCUCCUCAAGGAUUUUCUCCCUGGGCCCAAAGUAUUUACAUUCAGAUUUGCAUGUGAUUUGCAUAUAAUUUGUGUCCGGCUACAAAGCCUGUCUGUUGUUCAGAUAAUGUUUAAGCUAAAGUUAAUUUCUAGAAUAUCUUUCUCUCCCCAUCUUUCCUUACCCCAUUUACUCAGAUGCAUGGUAGAAAUGUCAGGAUUUUCAGGGGACAAAGGUAGUCCCUGGGUCACAUGCUCUCUUUGUCGGCAACGCUUUGCCUAAUUAGGAGUUUUAUUGUCAUAAAAUGUCUUAGACGGCAACAAAAACUGGAACAGGGCUGCUCAGAGGGUUAGAAGCAAGAGGUAGGGGAGUGAACUCGGCUGAGUUGGAAAGAGGAGAGUUAGCUAGAUAAACCAAAAGAAGGAAAAAGUCUGGGAAAAUUACUGGUGCUAACUACAUUUUUUAAAGAUUUUAUUUAUUUGACACAGAGUAGGCAGAGAGGCAGGCUGGGGGGCAGGUGAUGGGGGAAAGCAGGCUCCCUGCUGAGCAGAGGGCCCAACACGGGGUUCAAUCCCAGGACCUUGAGACCAGGACCUGAGCCAAAGGCAGAGUCUUAACCCACUGAGCCACCCAGGUGCCCCGAUGCUAAGUAACUCUUAAUGAGGAAGGCUCACAGUGUCCCAGGCAUUGUUUCCAGUGCUUUGCUUGUAUUGUGAGUUUAUCCUCAUAACAGCCCUACUAGGCAAGUACUUUUGUUACUCUCAUUUUAGAGAGGAGUCAGCGGAGACCCACAAAGGGUAUGAUCUUCUGCCUGAGAGCAUGCAGCAAAGGGAGACCAUCCGAACUUGGCUUGGUCCUCAGAUUCCCUAACGGGGGUACAGCUGGUCUGCUCUGCUGUGUGUAGAACAAGAAGGGAUAGUUCUGGAAGUAAGGGUGAGGCCAGCUCUUCACUUUAGGGAGAAAUCAUCAGGCCAGGAGAGGGGUCAGGGUAUGACAUGCCUGCCUGGACGUUCAAGCGGGGCAGGAGAUGGAAGGGGGUUUGCUGAGCCCACCCCGGCAGCGCAAAGGGGCUGCAACUGCUCUCGCUCCCUGGCUUGGUCCAAGCCAUCCCAUGUUUACUCUUUCUUUUGACAGAGAAUUCCCUCCCGAGCAAGACCUGGUCUCAGCCCGGUGCAGCGCUAGCCGGAAGCCUGCAGAUGUGGACAAGUGGGAAGCACUGGGUCCGUGGCCUGGAGUAAGAGGUUGGCAGGAAGACAAGGGCAAGAAUGACUCAGCCCCUUUGUCGUCACGCUCAGAAGGAAUCCAUCUUAUCAGGCCCCAAAUGACCAGCAGGACAAAGAGAUACUGCUUAGAAGGUGUGAUGGAAGAAAAAAACCAGGUGUCGGGUCUCAGCUCAUGAAGCUCUAACACCGAAACUGGGUGGUACUCACGGCAGGAUGGCAUCAAAAACCGGAGGGACUUGAGACAGAUAGGCAGCUGACUUGUCCUUGUGCCUAAGCUGGCCAUCUCCUAUAAUCAUGUUUCAACAGUUCCCUACCAAGUCAGAGUUAAGAUGACGGAAAAUGUCCAGAGGAAGAUCAUUUGGAUUCUACUUUGCCACCGUCCCACUCGACAUUUUCAUCAAUAACAAAUCGAUGAAAUGCUUAUUAAAUGUGUUGAUCAGUAAUUGGAAGGGAUAACUCAUGUACAGAGCUUCACCAAUAAAAAUUCAGAA